This 460-nucleotide ribosomal RNA is filed under the name uncultured bacterium. RNAcentral describes it as "partial 16S ribosomal RNA". It matches the Rfam family "Bacterial small subunit ribosomal RNA", at positions 338 to 795 of the family's 1533-position model. The record is from RNAcentral.
CCUACGGGCGGCUGCAGUGAGGAAUAUUGGUCAAUGGGCGCGAGCCUGAACCAGCCAAGUAGCGUGAAGGAUGACUGCCCUACGGGUUGUAAACCUCUUUUAUAAAGGAAUAAAGUGUGGCACGCGUGCCUUUUCGCAUGUACUUUAUGAAUAAGGAUCGGCUAACUCCGUGCCAGCAGCCGCGGUAAUACGGAGGAUCCGAGCGUUAUCCGGAUUUAUUGGGUUUAAAGGGUGCGUAGAUGGGUUGUUAAGUCAGUUGUGAAAGUUUGCGGCUCAACCGUAAAAUUGCAAUUGAAACUGGCAGUCUUGAGUACAGUUGAGGUAGGCGGAAUUCGUGGUGUAGCGGUGAAAUGCUUAGAUAUCACGAAGAACUCCGAUUGCGAAGGCAGCUUACUAAGCUGCCACUGACAUUGAUGCUCGAAAGUGUGGGUAUCGAACAGGAUUAGAUACCCUAGUAGUC